AAAUUGAAGAGUUUGAUCAUGGCUCAGAUUGAACGCUGGCGGCAGGCCUAACACAUGCAAGUCGAACGGUAACAGGAAACAGCUUGCUGUUUCGCUGACGAGUGGCGGACGGGUGAGUAAUGUCUGGGAAACUGCCUGAUGGAGGGGGAUAACUACUGGAAACGGUAGCUAAUACCGCAUAACGUCGCAAGACCAAAGAGGGGGACCUUCGGGCCUCUUGCCAUCGGAUGUGCCCAGAUGGGAUUAGCUUGUUGGUGGGGUAACGGCUCACCAAGGCGACGAUCCCUAGCUGGUCUGAGAGGAUGACCAGCCACACUGGAACUGAGACACGGUCCAGACUCCUACGGGAGGCAGCAGUGGGGAAUAUUGCACAAUGGGCGCAAGCCUGAUGCAGCCAUGCCGCGUGUAUGAAGAAGGCCUUCGGGUUGUAAAGUACUUUCAGCGGGGAGGAAGGGAGUAAAGUUAAUACCUUUGCUCAUUGACGUUACCCGCAGAAGAAGCACCGGCUAACUCCGUGCCAGCAGCCGCGGUAAUACGGAGGGUGCAAGCGUUAAUCGGAAUUACUGGGCGUAAAGCGCACGCAGGCGGUUUGUUAAGUCAGAUGUGAAAUCCCCGGGCUCAACCUGGGAACUGCAUCUGAUACUGGCAAGCUUGAGUCUCGUAGAGGGGGGUAGAAUUCCAGGUGUAGCGGUGAAAUGCGUAGAGAUCUGGAGGAAUACCGGUGGCGAAGGCGGCCCCCUGGACGAAGACUGACGCUCAGGUGCGAAAGCGUGGGGAGCAAACAGGAUUAGAUACCCUGGUAGUCCACGCCGUAAACGAUGUCGACUUGGAGGUUGUGCCCUUGAGGCGUGGCUUCCGGAGCUAACGCGUUAAGUCGACCGCCUGGGGAGUACGGCCGCAAGGUUAAAACUCAAAUGAAUUGACGGGGGCCCGCACAAGCGGUGGAGCAUGUGGUUUAAUUCGAUGCAACGCGAAGAACCUUACCUGGUCUUGACAUCCACAGAACUUUCCAGAGAUGGAUUGGUGCCUUCGGGAACUGUGAGACAGGUGCUGCAUGGCUGUCGUCAGCUCGUGUUGUGAAAUGUUGGGUUAAGUCCCGCAACGAGCGCAACCCUUAUCCUUUGUUGCCAGCGGUCCGGCCGGGAACUCAAAGGAGACUGCCAGUGAUAAACUGGAGGAAGGUGGGGAUGACGUCAAGUCAUCAUGGCCCUUACGACCAGGGCUACACACGUGCUACAAUGGCGCAUACAAAGAGAAGCGACCUCGCGAGAGCAAGCGGACCUCAUAAAGUGCGUCGUAGUCCGGAUUGGAGUCUGCAACUCGACUCCAUGAAGUCGGAAUCGCUAGUAAUCGUGGAUCAUAAUGCCACGGUGAAUACGUUCCCGGGCCUUGUACACACCGCCCGUCACACCAUGGGAGUGGGUUGCAAAAGAAGUAGGUAGCUUAACCUUCGGGAGGGCGCUUACCACUUUGUGAUUCAUGACUGGGGUGAAGUCGUAACAAGGUAACCGUAGGGGAACCUGCGGUUGGAUCACCUCCUUA
RNAcentral lists this ribosomal RNA (1542 nucleotides) under Escherichia coli. RNAcentral describes it as "bacterial SSU rRNA". It matches the Rfam family "Bacterial small subunit ribosomal RNA". The record is from RNAcentral. Lineage: Bacteria; Pseudomonadati; Pseudomonadota; Gammaproteobacteria; Enterobacterales; Enterobacteriaceae.